GACGAACGCUGGCGGCGUGCUUAACACAUGCAAGUCGAACGGAAAGGCCCUGCUUUUGUGGGGUGCUCGAGUGGCGAACGGGUGAGUAACACGUGAGUAACCUGCCCUUGACUUUGGGAUAACUUCAGGAAACUGGGGCUAAUACCGGAUAGGAGCUCCUGCUGCAUGGUGGGGGUUGGAAAGUUUCGGCGGUUGGGGAUGGACUCGCGGCUUAUCAGCUUGUUGGUGGGGUAGUGGCUUACCAAGGCUUUGACGGGUAGCCGGCCUGAGAGGGUGACCGGCCACAUUGGGACUGAGAUACGGCGCAGACUACUACGGGAGGCAGCAGGGGGGAAUAGUGCACAAUGGGCGGAAGCCUGAUGCAGCAACGCCGCGUGCGGGAUGACGGCCUUCGGGUUGUAAACCGCUUUCGCCUGUGACGAAGCGUGAGUGACGGUAAUGGGUAAAGAAGCACCGGCUAACUACGUG
RNAcentral lists this ribosomal RNA (468 nucleotides) under uncultured bacterium. RNAcentral's name for it is "partial 16S ribosomal RNA". It matches the Rfam family "Bacterial small subunit ribosomal RNA", at positions 28 to 507 of the family's 1533-position model. The record is from RNAcentral.